UGCGUCAUAGGCUUUGGGGAGCAGCGCAUGGGUGGGCGCUCUCCUUGGUGCUUGCGCAAUUAUUGCU
This 67-nucleotide microRNA precursor is filed under the name Chinchilla lanigera (long-tailed chinchilla). Its description in RNAcentral is "miRNA (ENSCLAG00000021205.1)". The record is from RNAcentral. Lineage: Eukaryota; Metazoa; Chordata; Mammalia; Rodentia; Chinchillidae.